UGCAGAUUUCACUUCGCUCCAGGCGCAUGAGGGAGCAGAGACAAAACCGAAACUGUUGCUGGCACAAUCUCAGAAACAGCCAGGAGUUCAGGAAGCCCCCGAGCCUGCACUCAGCUCCCUCCGACUGGGAGCAGCUGUUUGGGGAAGAUGCCUGUGUGACAUUAUUGAUAUAAACUGGGACCAUAUAGAACAUGGAUUGCAACCAAGGUCCUGUAGUGGCACCAAAUCUUAUGUAAAGGGGUCAUAUAAGGUGUCUAAGACCAGGUUCUGGGUUGCUGGUUAUGAUUAUGCUGUCUGUAUGUCUGUAUCAUUUUGUAGUUGAAGUUAUGAGUAUUGGCUGUAUACUGUCUGUAUUUCAAAUUGGUGCUGUAGUUCUGGGAAAAAGACAGGUGGGUGUUGGCUCUGCCUAGCCUGCUGGAUGGCCCAUUAAGGACCAUCAGCUACACAAUUGACCCAUUGAGAGGAGGCAGAUACACCUUGUAACUCAGCAGGGUGUGCAGGGACUUGCCCAUGUGACUCCAGACUCCAUUUUGCUGUAAUUUUCCACAGUAAGAACAAAGAAGUGUUCUUACACCUGGAAGAGCCUAUCUGAGGCUGAUGCCUCAUCUCCAUCUGAUCUCCAAUCCUGCUUCCUACCUCUGGAGGGACUUUGCUACAAGCUGAAGCUCUACACAAGGGACUGAUGACCCAUCCCAGCUGGGGAUGUUCUCCAGAGACUUGAUUUGAACCUGCAGUUUACUCCAUCACUGCUACAAGCCUGAACUAAGAACUUUGCCAUCACUGUAUGGAAUUGAUUCCAUUUAACCAAUUCUAGCUCUCAUCUCUACCUUUUUCCCCUUUAUGAAUAAACCUUUAGAUUCUGAA
This is a long non-coding RNA of Gopherus flavomarginatus (Mexican gopher tortoise), 864 nucleotides long. RefSeq lists it as uncharacterized. NCBI's taxonomy places the organism in Eukaryota, Metazoa, Chordata, Testudines, Testudinidae. The record is from RefSeq and is a predicted model, not a curated record. The transcript is spliced from 2 exons.